GCAAGUCGAACGAUCGCAAGAUAGUGGCGCACGGGUGAGGAACACGUAGCUAACCUGCCUUUGGGUCUGGGAUAACGUCGCGAAAGUGACGCUAAGACCGGAUAAGCUCCCGGGUUGUAGAGACCAGAGAGAAAAGGGGCAAGACGCCUGAAGAGGGGGCUGCGGCGCAUCAGCUAGUUGGUGGGGUAAAGGCCUACCAAGGCAACGACGCGUAAGGGGUCUGAGAGGAUGAUCCCUCACACUGGGACUGAGACACGGCCCAGGCUCCUACGGGAGGCAGCAGUGAGGAAUAUUGCACAAUGGGGGGAACCCUGAUGCAGCGACGCCGCGUGGGUGAUGACGGCCUUCGGGUUGUAGAGCCCUUUUGCCAUUGACGAGAACGGACGGUAGAUGGCGAAUAAGCCUCGGCUAACUACGUGCCAGCAGCCGCGGUAAAACGUAGGAGGCGAGCGUUAUCCGGAGUUACUGGGCGUAAAGCGUGCGCAGGCGGUGCCAUAAGUCAGGUGUGAAAGGUUCCGGCUCAACCGGGAAAACGCGCUUGAGACUGUGGGACUAGAGUGGGAUAGAGGGACGUGGAAUUCCGGGUGGAGCGGUGAAAUGUGUAGAGAUCCGGAGGAACACCAGAGGCGCAAGCGGCGUCCUGGGUCCCAACUGACGCUGAGGCACGAAAGCUUGGGGAGCGAACGGGAUUAGAGACCCCGGUAGUCCAAGCCGUAAACGAUGCAGACUCGGUGUCCACUCUCGCAAGGGAGGGGGCGCCACAGCUAACGCGAUAAGUCUGCCGCC
Molecule: ribosomal RNA, 786 nt
Filed under: uncultured bacterium
Lineage: Bacteria
Description: bacterial SSU rRNA
Rfam family: Bacterial small subunit ribosomal RNA
Source: RNAcentral